RNAcentral lists this ribosomal RNA (356 nucleotides) under uncultured bacterium. RNAcentral's name for it is "bacterial SSU rRNA". It matches the Rfam family "Bacterial small subunit ribosomal RNA", at positions 32 to 361 of the family's 1533-position model. The record is from RNAcentral.
AAUCAACGCUGGCGGCGUGCCUCAGACAUGCAAGUCGAACGCGAAAAGUUCCCUUCGGGGGAGUGAGUAGAGUGGCGCACGGGUGAGUAACACGUAGGUAAUCUACCUUUGGUAUGGGGAAGUAACAACCGGAAACGGUUGCUAAUACCGCAUAAUGCAGCGGCACCUAAUGGUGACAGUUGUUAAAGACGGGGGAGUCGAAAGACCUCGCGUCUGAAGAGGAGCCUGCGGCGGAUCAGCUAGUUGGUAAGGUAACGGCUUACCAAGGCGACGAUCCGUAGCCGGCCUGAGAGGGCGGUCGGCCACACUGACACUGACAUACGGGUCAGACUCCUACGGGAGGCAGCAGUCGGGAA